Molecule: ribosomal RNA, 253 nt
Filed under: uncultured bacterium
Lineage: Bacteria
Description: partial 16S ribosomal RNA
Rfam family: Bacterial small subunit ribosomal RNA
Source: RNAcentral
UACGUAGGGGGCGAGCGUUGUCCGGAAUCAUUGGGCGUAAAGCGCGUGUAGGCGGCCCGGUAAGUCCGCUGUGAAAGUCCAGGGCUCAACCCUGGGAUGCCGGUGGAUACUGUCGGGCUCGAGUCCGGAAGAGGCGAGUGGAAUUCCUGGUGUAGCUGUGAAAUGCGCAGAUAUCAGGAGGAACACCAAUGGCGAAGGCAGCUCGCUGGGACGUGACUGACGCUGAGACGCGAAAGCGUGGGGAGCAAACAGG